GAGUUUGAUUCUGGCUCAGGAUGAACGCUGGCGGCGUGCCUAAUACAUGCAAGUCGAGCGAACAGAUAAGGAGCUUGCUCCUUUGACGUUAGCGGCGGACGGGUGAGUAACACGUGGGUAACCUACCUAUAAGACUGGAAUAACUCCGGGAAACCGGGGCUAAUGCCGGAUAAUAUUUAGAACCGCAUGGUUCUAAAGUGAAAGAUGGUUUUGCUAUCACUUAUAGAUGGACCCGCGCCGUAUUAGCUAGUUGGUGGGGUAAUGGCUUACCAAGGCAACGAUACGUAGCCGACCUGAGAGGGUGAUCGGCCACACUGGAACUGAGACACGGUCCAGACUCCUACGGGAGGCAGCAGUAGGGAAUCUUCCGCAAUGGGCGAAAGCCUGACGGAGCAACGCCGCGUGAGUGAUGAAGGUCUUCGGAUCGUAAAACUCUGUUAUUAGGGAAGAACAAAUGUGUAAGUAACUGUGCACGUCUUGACGGUACCUAAUCAGAAAGCCACGGC
RNAcentral lists this ribosomal RNA (506 nucleotides) under uncultured bacterium. RNAcentral describes it as "bacterial SSU rRNA". It matches the Rfam family "Bacterial small subunit ribosomal RNA", at positions 9 to 497 of the family's 1533-position model. The record is from RNAcentral.